Molecule: ribosomal RNA, 435 nt
Filed under: uncultured Glomus
Lineage: Eukaryota; Fungi; Glomeromycota; Glomeromycetes; Glomerales; Glomeraceae
Description: SSU rRNA
Rfam family: Eukaryotic small subunit ribosomal RNA
Source: RNAcentral
AGCAGCCGCGGUAAUUCCAGCUCCAAUAGCGUAUAUUAAAGUUGUUGCAGUUAAAAAGCUCGUAGUUGAAUUUCGGGGUUAGUAGGUUGGUCGUGCCACUGGUAUGCACUGGCCUCACUGAUUCCUCCUUCUUGAAGAACUGUAAUGCCAUUAAUUUGGUGUUGCAGGGAAACAGGACUGUUACUUUGAAAAAUUAGAGUGUUUAAAGCAGGCUAACGCUUGAAUACAUUAGCAUGGAAUAAUGAAAUAGGACGUUUGAUCCUAUUUUGUUGGUUUCUAGGAUUGACGUAAUGAUUAAUAGGGAUAGUUGGGGGCAUUAGUAUUCAAUUGUCAGAGGUGAAAUUCUUGGAUUUAUUGAAGACUAACUACUGCGAAAGCAUUUGCCAAGGAUGUUUCAUUAAUCAAGAACGAAAGUUAGGGAUCGAAGACGAUCAG